This 1302-nucleotide ribosomal RNA is filed under the name uncultured bacterium. RNAcentral's name for it is "bacterial SSU rRNA". It matches the Rfam family "Bacterial small subunit ribosomal RNA", at positions 49 to 1342 of the family's 1533-position model. The record is from RNAcentral.
UAACACAUGCAAGUCGAGGGGCAGCAUGGCCUAUCUUUCGGGAUAGGCUGAUGGCGACCGGCGCACGGGUGAGUAACGCGUAUCCAACCUUCCCUUUACUGGGGUUCAGCCCGUCGAAAGGCGGAUUAAUCCCCCAUGUUCUCCGUCCCGGACAUCUGUGUCGGAGCAAAGAUUUAUCGGUAAAGGAUGGGGAUGCGUCCGAUUAGCUUGUUGGCGGGGUAACGGCCCACCAAGGCAUCGAUCGGUAGGGGUUCUGAGAGGAAGGUCCCCCACACUGGAACUGAGACACGGUCCAAACUCCUACGGGAGGCAGCAGUGAGGAAUAUUGGUCAAUGGCCGCAAGGCUGAACCAGCCAAGUAGCGUGAGGGAAGACUGCCCUAUGGGUUGUAAACCUCUUUUAUGCGGGGAUAAAGGCGUCCACGUGUGGAUGUUUGCAGGUACCGCAUGAAUAAGGACCGGCUAAUUCCGUGCCAGCAGCCGCGGUAAUACGGAAGGUCCGGGCGUUAUCCGGAUUUAUUGGGUUUAAAGGGAGCGUAGGCCGGUCUUUAAGCGUGCCGUGAAAUUUUGUGGCUCAACCAUGAGAGUGCGGCGCGAACUGGAGACCUUGAGUGCGCGGAAGGCAGGCGGAAUUCGUGGUGUAGCGGUGAAAUGCUUAGAUAUCAGGAAGAACCCCGAUUGCGAAGGCAGCCUGCCGCAGCGUUACUGACGCUGAAGCUCGAAAGCGCGGGUUCUUAAGGGAUUNNNUCCCCUNNUNNUCCGCNNCNNUAAAGCCUCUUAGGGAGCUGUCGGCGAUAUACAGUUCGGCGGCCAAGCGAAAGCGUUAAGCAUCCCACCUGGGGAGUACGCCGGCAACGGUGAAACUCAAAGGAAUUGACGGGGGCCCGCACAAGCGGAGGAACAUGUGGUAUAAUUCGAUGAUACGCGAGGAACCUUACCCGGGCUUGAAUUGCAGAGGAAAGAUCCAGAGAUGGUGAUGCCCUUCGGGGUCUCUGUGAAGGUGCUGCAUGGUUGUCGUCAGCUCGUGCCGUGAGGUGUCGGCUUAAGUGCCAUAACGAGCGCAACCCCUUUCCCUAGUUGCCAUCGGUUUUGGCCGGGCACUCUGGGGACACUGCCUCCGCAAGGAGUGAGGAAGGUGGGGAUGAUGUCAAAUCAGCACGGCCCUUACGUCCGGGGCUACACACGUGUUACAAUGGGUGAUACAGAGGGCCGGCCGCUGGCAACAUCGGUCCAAUCCUUAAAGUCAUCCUCAGUUCGGACUGGGGUCUGCAACCCGACCCCACGAAGCUGGAUUCGCUAGUAAU